RNAcentral lists this ribosomal RNA (253 nucleotides) under uncultured bacterium. RNAcentral's name for it is "partial 16S ribosomal RNA". It matches the Rfam family "Bacterial small subunit ribosomal RNA", at positions 524 to 776 of the family's 1533-position model. The record is from RNAcentral.
UACAGGGGGUGCAAACGUUGCUCGGAAUUAUUGGGCGUAAAGCGCGCGUAGGCGGCCGCUUAAGUCGGAUGUGAAAGCCCCUGGCUCAACUAGGGAAGUGCACCCGAAACUGAGUGGCUUGAGUACUAAAGAGGGUCGCGGAAUUCCCGGUGUAGAGGUGAAAUUCGUAGAUAUCGAGAGGAACACCGGUGGCGAAGGCGGCCUUCUGGACAGCAACUGACGCUGAGACGCGAAAGCGUGGGGAGCAAACAGG